Long non-coding RNA from Poecilia latipinna (sailfin molly), 5211 nucleotides. RefSeq lists it as uncharacterized. The record is from RefSeq and is a predicted model, not a curated record. Lineage: Eukaryota; Metazoa; Chordata; Actinopteri; Cyprinodontiformes; Poeciliidae. The transcript has 4 exons.
UGAAGCAGUAAAUGCACCGCGUGAUGAGCUUCACCUGUGGAGUUUGUGUUUGGCGCAGAAACACCGAAUGUGACUUCGGAAUGAAUACAGGAAACUGAGAUUUGAAGAAUUUUGUUUUUAUUUAUCUAAGAAAUAUAACUAAUGUUAAAAUGGACACAAGGUGAAGCGGUUUGGGACAAAAGAUGAUGAGCCGUUUCCAGAAGUUUUGAAGGCCAGUCACAACAAAUCUGGAUUAAUUCUGCACUAAAGAUGUCGAGAGUUAUCCACUGCAGAUCACAAGAACAAGAUGUACCGAGAGAACUUCCUGUGACUGAACCUGAAGAGACUGGCUGUCCAGGACACACAGCCUCCAUCAAGGAGUUGAUGUCGAGACCUGUGACAGCUGGAGCCGGAGACAUAACCUUCGAACACAAGUGUUUUCACCAAACACACUUCAGGGAAAGUACAGUGCUGUGCUGUAAGGCGCUAGCUUAUUUCUUUAUAUUCUGUUUCUAGGAAGGAGUCAGGCUUUUUUGGGUGUUUAAGUUGGCUUCUUACUUUACUUUGGUUGUUUUUCACUAAUCUCCAGCCCAAUUCCUGACAAUUUUCAGUAGAAUCCCUUGUCGUUUAAGCCACACAUCCCAUUGGCUUGUGAAAACAUGCAUAUUUUAUCAACCUCUAAAUCUAAGCCAUUGCACAAAGUUGUGUUCAUCUCUUGGAAGCGCAGUAUAAACCACCUAUUGUCUGGUUUACAGCUGUAUAGUCUUCUAAUGAUAUGCAAAUAUAUAAAUUUGUGACGCAAAGGGAUGAAAGAUUAAUCAGUUACUGGGUUAAUAAUGAUGAACUUCUGACCUUUUAAAAGAAGCGUAGUUUGGUUGAGGUUAAUUUAGGAUCAAAUCAGUAAAAUGCCUAAUUAAUAAACUUGGUAAUUUGCAUUUUAAUUGAAAAGUUGUAUCUCACAUCGACAUGUCACCAACAUAUCAUAUGCGCGGUCGCUUAUUACGUCAAUAUGACUGAUAGAUUUAUGCAACAAGUGGCAUUUAUUGUCAAUCUGAUCUUCUUUAUUAACAUAUGCAGCUGAUCCAUCCAAAUUACCGAUAUCUAAAACAUGUGCUUAUGAGUUGACUUUUUAAGCCUUUGAAUAUACUUUCCAUUCUUCCGAUUGUUCUUUUUUUCCUCUCAGUCUCGUUUUAUUGAUUUCUGUUCCAUUUCCUCCCAAAUAUCCAUUGAACUUGGUAAAAUAUGAUGAACGUCACGUCAUAUUUCACAGGCCAUGAAAUCUUGCAUAUUUCAUGGCCUGUAUCAUCAGCUGCAGUCUUUGCGGUCCUCAUCGAAAGCUGCAGUGAGAUUAAUGAGAUUUAAUCUUUUACCUCAUUGCCAAUGCUUUAUCUCAUGAGGUCAUUCACUGGUGCGUCAGCCCUCCUCCGCCUCCCUACCCUCACCGUACCUAUGUUGCAAAAUUAAACUUGAAUUAGAUCAUUAGCAUACAAAGCAGGAAACCCACUGCCGUGGAGUCAUACAUAUUUAUCUGGAUGUGCCUGACUUGUGCAUGCACACCCUCAUACUGUAACCCCUUUUGCAUGCAAACAUCCCUGUUUCUCUUGCGCAGGAGACAAGCGAGCACAGACUAUAAAAUGGAUAUUAAUUAGAGUAGGUUGGUUUUUAAGAAGCAUAAAUCUAACUGCGAACCGUCUGAGUAAAUACAAGGAUUUCAUCCAAACGAGCUUUUGGAAACAUGGCAGGUUGACUGCAAAAUGUGUGCAUUUGGAACCAGAGCAGAUGGAUUUUGAUUAGGAUCGUUUGGGCAGGUUGCUUUCAACGCAUCAAAUAUUGCUUACACACAGAGGAAACGCGAAACGCCUGCAGUCCAAACUCAUCUGCUGCACAUUAACAAACAGAAAAAGACAAACAGGGAACACGGCCUUCUGAAUAAUCAUGCGUUGCCUCAUGAAUGACUCCUUUUCUCUCUCUCCUUUCCCCCCUGUCCUUUCCACUAGAAAUUAACUUUCUCCUUAACCACUCUCCAUGCUUCCCGGGGAUCACUUUCCAGCCUUCUUCUUCCUUCCAGCUGGGAGAACAACUCCCUCCUUUUGCAGCUAUGUGGACUCCUCCAUUAGUAUUCCUUCCUCCUUCCCUCUUUCCCCUCCCUCCUGUGAGAUUGCUGUUGUGUCUUAUGGCUUUUUAUUCCUACGUGAUGGUAGAUGGGUUCAUGUAGGAGUAGAAGCCACUAAACACGCGGUGAGUGCUCGACAUGCUGGCCAACACAUGCAGAGAGCUUCCUGUGGCUAUGACAGCUGCCAUGUUCACAUCAAUGUCCUGCCCAUUAUCCCGAAUGCACACAGGGUUUAAAUAUAGUUCGGGGACCUCACUGAGGAGCGGGGCUGUUUUUAGAUCGGAGUUGCAGUCUGGUCCAAAUUGGAGCGAAAACUAUAGAUUUGAAUUAUUUUCGGAAAAAUCCACAGCUGAAAAAUCAAUUCUCGGUGCAGAAUUGUCUUAACCGACCUACUUUCCCCAGCUGCAUGCUGGUUGCUUGUGUCUCCAAUUCAAUAUUAAUUUCUUCACUUCCCUGCCCUGCGGUCCUCGAUCAGAACUGCAGCUUGAAAGAUCUUAAAACCACUUUCGAAAUAAAAUGACUCUCAGGUAGGUCACUCAAUAAUGUCUGAAUAUAUUUGCCGUUUCCCUGUUAAGUUGUGCAGAAAAGGUUCAUAGCCCUCUUUAACAGCACUAAAAGGUUUUCACACUGUUUGUAGCGCAACAUAUUACAGUCCAUCCUUUAAGUUCUGGAAAGUAACCGUUCCAUCACACACUUUUCCAUUAUUUACCAGGUAUUUAUUGGUUUCUAAGAUACUUCUGAGUCGUAGCUUAUCUGGUAUUUUUCUUGAACUUAGAAGUUACUUUGCUGAAUUUACCAGGUAUAAACAUGUAACUUUCAUGGAGUCUAAUAAUAGUUUCAAAAAUGUUCUCCAAAAACACUUGGUAAGCUCCAGACAGUGUGGAAAGUAACAAGUUCUGCAAAAGUACAUCCUGUUAUAUAAUAGAGCCACCAAAUUGUGAAACUAUUAUUUCAAACUUUUUUGCUCCUCUAUAAAGUAUCUGUUCCAUACCUCUGUAGUUUUAGAGCUGUUCAAGAGAACAUUGUGAUUUUUUUUUUCAUUGUAUCACUUUUGCAUGGUUGACUGUGGACUCUAUAUAACGUAUUUUUAAUACGUCUGUAAUGCUAUUUGUAUGUUUUACCCAGAAUACGUUGAAAGGGACUUCAGAUAGUGUUUCUAGUGGUUACAGUGUAUAGUCUCUCUUUAAAAGGAAAAUUAUUAAAAAGGAUCUUGCAUGUAACGCAAAGUUUGAUUAGUUUUAAAUCACUCAGAUCCACUAAAAUCUUCCUUUCUCUCUAAAAAUCUGAGCUCUUACAUCUCUGAUUGUCACUGAAUGUACCUUUUUAAUCAAAUCUUUUUUUGUUACUGUCUCAAAGCUGAGUGAUUGAAAACGUGCAAAAUCACCAUUUAAACUGUAAUGUAGAAAAGUGGUUUCAUUGAUCCUAUAUGUUUGGCCAUGUUAAAGUGUUGUGGCUAAAAUACAUUCGAGUCUGAGUGGACAAGACAACAGAAAAACUGCAUUGUAUUUCUUCACAAACCAAAAAUGAGGAUUGCAAAAGCUCUUGUGACCGAGAUGCUUGUACCUUUAAUGAUGACAACACAGAUGCAACAAAAGAGCUGUUUUUAAAAUGCGCUGGCUGACUCAUUGUGAAUCACCUUGGCGCAGAAGUUGAACAGGGAGUUCCUUGAAAAAGCUCCAGUCUGAAGAGACCAGCAGGAGGCCAACUCGGUCUGUUUUGUUAGAUCUGAAGGGACCACAGUCUGAAGUAGCAGAUUUUAUUGUAAUUCACAGUAGUUUUCUUAGCGUUUGACAUUUCACUCAAAAUAGUAGGAGUUGUAACCUUGAAGCACCAGAUUUUGAAUGUUUUUCCAACCAGCUUUCCUGAUAAGUUUCUCAAUCCCUUUAAAACUUCAAGGCAGGAAACUUUGAAUCAACUCGUAGCAACCCCCUUCAUUUUCCUCCUAAAUUAUGUACAAAUCCUGGCACCCUAAUAAUGGCGCGGCAGUAACUUUCGCCUGGGCUGAACUUGGUGUCAACUAAUUAAGCAAGAAACUCAAAUUAUCCUGCUGGUGGGUUCAUUCGUGUGCUGCAGGGUUUGGGUUUAAAUGUCAACUCCCUGUUUGUGUUCGCCGCGAAAUACGCUGCCAGCCUGCGCUCCUCGCACACAAGCUGAAUAAAGUCUAAACAGGCAGAAACCAAGAGCUGAAUUAUUAAUCCCUGGAUAUUACAAGAAGCUGACACAUGUUUGCAGUUGUGGGACAUUACUUCUUCGCUCAUUUUAGAUGCAUGAUAAUUUGAGAUGAAAACUAGAUAAGUUCUGCCGAAGUUUAAUGAUUUCUUUUUAAGCUGUAAGAUGUUGUGAUCUAAAAUUCAGAGGGGAGGCUUGACAAGUUUCUGUUGCCUGCAUUAUCUGUUUAAUUUAUUUUUCAGGUUCCCACUCCCACAUAGGGCUUUUUAUUCUUUUCUUUUUUUCCCCCCGCUUUAUUGAGUCGUGAGGUGGUCUGAGAGAAUAUUUGAACAGAAGGAAGACAUUAAAGAAGGCAGAGGAAGGCUUCGAUUUUUAACCCUGUGGGGGUCCAUGGGAAUCUAAAGGUGGGAAUCAACAGUGAUGAAGUCUAUGGGAAAGAUCCUGCAUUAUUUACAGCAGCACAGGCUCAUAAAGGGGAAGCUGUGUUUGAAUAGAUCGCUCCUGUCUUUUCGUCUCGCCCAAGGGUUCGCUUCACAGUUAUGAUCCAACCAGACUGCAAACCUCACAUUCAAAUGUCAAAAUAAGACAGGCAGCACUUGGGCUCAUUUUAAUAUUGACAGCUGUUCUUUUUUUUUUUUUUUUUUUCCAAAUUACGGCUUUCGCGACUCCACGACUCAUGAUCAGAUUCCGCAAGGUUGCCGAUUCCUCAAGUUCAGGUGGAAACCAUCAACUCUGGUGUAAUGGGAUUUUCCUCUGACAGAUGCAAUAAUGCAGUGUGUUUGUGUACAGUAGGUUUAAUGUACGAGUGGUGUUCUACUUUAUCUCCACCCUGCUUCAGGCUCUGCUUUGAUUUUUCUGUAAUAAAUAAUGCUCUUUUGUCUUCUGUGCUGCAUUUGUUCCCAGUUGUAAUCUCUCUACUGCUCAAUAAAUUAUGAAUAAUGCCAGUUCAA